RNAcentral lists this unclassified non-coding RNA (335 nucleotides) under soil metagenome. RNAcentral's name for it is "partial contains 5.8S ribosomal RNA, internal transcribed spacer 2, and large subunit ribosomal RNA". The stretch from base 1 to 120 matches the Rfam family "5.8S ribosomal RNA", at positions 35 to 154 of the family's 154-position model. The record is from RNAcentral.
GAUGAAGAACGCAGCGAAAUGCGAUAAGUAAUGUGAAUUGCAGAAUUCAGUGAAUCAUCGAAUCUUUGAACGCACAUUGCGCCCCUUGGUAUUCCAUGGGGCAUGCCUGUUCGAGCGUCAUUUGUACCUUCAAGCUUUGCUUGGUGUUGGGUGUUUGUCUCGCCUUUGCGUGUAGACUCGCCUUAAAAUAAUUGGCAGCCGGCGUAUUGAUUUCGGAGCGCAGUACAUCUCGCGCUUUGCACUCAUAACGACAGCGUCCAAAAGUACAUUUUACACUCUUGACCUCGGAUCAGGUAGGGAUACCCGCUGAACUUAAGCAUAUCAUAAGCGGAGGA